Molecule: ribosomal RNA, 513 nt
Filed under: uncultured bacterium
Lineage: Bacteria
Description: bacterial SSU rRNA
Rfam family: Bacterial small subunit ribosomal RNA
Source: RNAcentral
AGUUGUAGUCUCGGCGUCUAGGAUGAACGCUGGCGGCGUGCUUAACACAUGCAAGUCGAACGAAGCUCCUUGAACUGAAGAUUCGUCUGAUGGGAUAGGAAGACUUAGUGGCGGACGGGUGAGUAACGCGUGGGUAACCUGCCGUAUACAGGGGGAUAACAGUUAGAAAUGACUGCUAAUACCGCAUAAGCGCACAGUGAGGCAUCUCACAGUGUGAAAAACUCCGGUGGUAUACGAUGGACCCGCGUCUGAUUAGCCAGUUGGCAGGGUAACGGCCUACCAAAGCGACGAUCAGUAGCCGGCCUGAGAGGGUGAACGGCCACAUUGGGACUGAGACACGGCCCAAACUCCUACGGGAGGCAGCAGUGGGGAAUAUUGCACAAUGGGGGAAACCCUGAUGCAAGCGACGCCGCGUGAGUGAAGAAGCAUUUCGGUGCGUAAAGCUCUAUCAGCAGGGAAGAAAAUGACGGUACCUGACUAAGAAGCCCCGGCUAACUACGUGCCAGCCGCAGC